RNAcentral lists this ribosomal RNA (440 nucleotides) under uncultured bacterium. RNAcentral describes it as "partial 16S ribosomal RNA". It matches the Rfam family "Bacterial small subunit ribosomal RNA", at positions 338 to 795 of the family's 1533-position model. The record is from RNAcentral.
CCUACGGGUGGCAGCAGUGGGGAAUAUUGCACAAUGGGGGAAACCCUGAUGCAGCGACGCCGCGUGCGUGAAGACGUAAUUCGUUAUGUAAAGCUCUAUCAGCAGGGAAGAAAAUGACGGUACCUGAGUAAGAAGCCCCGGCUAACUACGUGCCAGCAGCCGCGGUUAUACGGAGGGGGCAAGCGUUAUCCGGAUUUACUGGGUGUAAGGGGAGUGUAGACGGCAGUGCAAGUCUGGAGUGAAGGGCGGGGGCUCAACCCCCGGACUGCUCUGGAAACUGUACGGCUGGAGUGCAGUAGAGGUAGGUGGAAUGCCUGGUGUAGCGGUGAAAUGCGUAGAGAUUAGGAGGAACACCAGUGGCGAAGGCGGCUUACUGGACUGUAACUGACGUUGAGGCUCGAAAGCGUGGGGAGCAAACAGGAUUAGAUACCCUAGUAGUC